Molecule: long non-coding RNA, 351 nt
Organism: Ictalurus punctatus (channel catfish)
Lineage: Eukaryota; Metazoa; Chordata; Actinopteri; Siluriformes; Ictaluridae
Exons: 2
Source: RefSeq, a predicted model, not a curated record
UUCUGAGCUCGUCCGCACCAGUCACGUUGCAUCAUGGGAUUAUUUGACUUGCGUAGCAGUACGCCAUCCGGGUAUUUCUCGCCUACUGAGAAUUCGGAUACACUACACCUCUGACAUGGCCACUAUAUAGUAGAGCUGGGCAGUUUUCAUCAGACUUCUUCACAGAUCCAAACGUUUUGCCUCUUCUUAUGGCUGGUCGACACACUGGUUUCCCUCAUUGGACUUUGUAAUUUACAGGUUUCCCUUUGACAGUUUUUUCCUCUUAAAAUGUUAACACACUGUUAAAAAAAAAUGUACAGUGUACAGUGCCCUCCACUAAUAUUGGCACCCUUGGUAAAUAUGAACAAAGAA